CAAUGGGCGAAAGCCUGAUGCAGCAACGCCGCUUGAAGGAUGACGGCCUUCGGGUUGUAAACCUUUUUUAGCAGGGAAGAAGCGAGAGUGACGGUACCUGCAGAAAAAGCACCGGCUAAUUACGUGCCAGCAGCCGCGGUAAUACGUAGGGUGCAAGCGUUAUCCGGAAUUAUUGGGCGUAAAGAGCUCGUAGGCGGUUUGUCGCGUCUGCUGUGAAAUUCCGAGGCUCAACCUCGGGCUUGCAGUGGGUACGGGCAGACUAGAGUGCGGUAGGGGAGAUUGGAAUUCCUGGUGUAGCGGUGGAAUGCGCAGAUAUCAGGAGGAACACCGAUGGCGAAGGCAGAUCUCUGGGCCGUAACUGACGCUGAGGAGCGAAAGGGUGGGGAGCAAACAGGCUUAGAUACCCUGGUAGUCCACCCCGUAAACGUUGGGAACUAGUUGUGGGGUCCUUUCCACGGAUUCCGUGACGCAGCUAACGCAUUAAGUUCCCCGCCUGGGGAGUACGGCCGCAAGGCUAAAACUCAAAGGAAUUGACGGGGACCCGCACAAGCGGCGGAGCAUGCGGAUUAAUUCGAUGCAACGCGAAGAACCUUACCAAGGCUUGACAUACACGAGAACGGGCCAGAAAUGGUCAACUCUUUGGACACUCGUGAACAGGUGGUGCAUGGUUGUCGUCAGCUCGUGUCGUGAGAUGUUGGGUUAAGUCCCGCAACGAGCGCAACCCUCGUUCUAUGUUGCCAGCACGUAAUGGUGGGAACUCAUGGGAUACUGCCGGGGUCAACUCGGAGGAAGGUGGGGAUGACGUCAAAUCAUCAUGCCCCUUAUGUCUUGGGCUUCACGCAUGCUACAAUGGCCGGUACAAUGGGCUGCGAUACCGCGAGGUGGAGCGAAUCCCAAAAAGCCGGUCCCAGUUCGGAUUGAGGUCUGCAACUCGACCUCAUGAAGUCGGAGUCGCUAGUAAUCGCAGAUCAGCAACGCUGCGGUGAAUACGUUCCCGGGUCUUGUACACACCGCCCGUCAAGUCAUGAAAGUCGGUAACACCUGAAGCCGGUGGCCUAACCCUUG
This 1065-nucleotide ribosomal RNA is filed under the name Microbacterium arabinogalactanolyticum. RNAcentral's name for it is "bacterial SSU rRNA". It matches the Rfam family "Bacterial small subunit ribosomal RNA", at positions 369 to 1444 of the family's 1533-position model. The record is from RNAcentral. Lineage: Bacteria; Bacillati; Actinomycetota; Actinomycetes; Micrococcales; Microbacteriaceae.